GCNNNNAUGACGUGNUAUCGGGUGAUUAUGGUUCGAUUCCGGAGAGGGAGCCUGAGAAACGGCUACCACAUCCAAGGAAGGCAGCAGGCGCGCAAAUUACCCAAUCCCGACACGGGGAGGUAGUGACAAUAAAUAACAAUACAGGGCUCUUUCGGGUCUUGUAAUUGGAAUGAGUACAAUUUAAAUCCCUUAACGAGGAACAAUUGGAGGGCAAGUCUGGUGCCAGCAGCCGCGGUAAUUCCAGCUCCAAUAGCGUAUAUUAAAGUUGUUGCAGUUAAAAAGCUCGUAGUUGAAUUUCGGGGUUCCACCGUUGGUCGGGCUAUUGUCUGUACUGGCGUGUGGAAUUUCUACCUUCUGGGGAACUAUCAUGUUAUUAAUUUAGCGUGGUAGGAAACCAGGACCUUUACCUUGAAAAAAUUAGAGUGUUCAAAGCAGGCUUAUGUCUGAAUACAUUAGCAUGGAAUAAUAAAAUAGGACGGUGGUCCUGUUUUGUUGGUUUCUGAAUCACCGUAAUGAUUAAUAGGGAUAGUUGGGGGCAUUAGUAUUCAAUUGUCAGAGGUGAAAUUCUUGGAUUUAUUGAAGACUAACUACUGCGAAAGCAUUUGCCAAGGAUGUUUUCAUUAAUCAAGAACGAAAGUUAGGGGAUCGAAGACGAUCAGAUACCGUCGUAGUCUUAACCAUAAACUAUGCCGACUAGGGAUCGGACGAUGUUAACUUUUCUUGACUCGUUCGGCGCCUUACGGGAAACCAAAUUUUUGGGGNUCACA
This 767-nucleotide ribosomal RNA is filed under the name Dentiscutata savannicola. Its description in RNAcentral is "SSU rRNA". It matches the Rfam family "Eukaryotic small subunit ribosomal RNA", at positions 346 to 1116 of the family's 1831-position model. The record is from RNAcentral. Lineage: Eukaryota; Fungi; Glomeromycota; Glomeromycetes; Diversisporales; Gigasporaceae.